GCUCGCCUAGCUCAGUUGGUUAGAGCGUCGUGCUAAUAACGCGAAUGUCGCAGGUUCGAUUCCUGCGGUGAGCA
RNAcentral lists this transfer RNA (74 nucleotides) under Cryptomonas curvata. Its description in RNAcentral is "tRNA-Ile". It matches the Rfam family "tRNA". From Rfam's summary of the family: Transfer RNA (tRNA) molecules are approximately 80 nucleotides in length. Their secondary structure includes four short double-helical elements and three loops (D, anti-codon, and T loops). The record is from RNAcentral. Lineage: Eukaryota; Cryptophyceae; Cryptomonadales; Cryptomonadaceae.